Molecule: unclassified non-coding RNA, 379 nt
Filed under: Hevea brasiliensis (rubber tree)
Lineage: Eukaryota; Viridiplantae; Streptophyta; Magnoliopsida; Malpighiales; Euphorbiaceae
Source: RNAcentral
AAUGGCAAAGUCACCAACCUGUAAUAUGACAUUCUGGUAAGCAUAAAAUAUAAAAAUAUAAAAAUUCACCAUUAACCAAAAAUUCUAUUUGACAUGUUUGCGCAUAAAAGAAGAUAAUGAGCUCAAUUAAAUCUCAAAAUUUACACAUAUGAAUAUAAGCUCUAUACUCCUACAAUCUUUUACCGAAAAAGCAUUAGAUUGAUUAGAUGAACAGUAUCACACACAAUUUCAAUGCUGUCCAUCCAAUAUAUAUUUAAGGUUUUGCAAAUUUCAAGUAGUAUAGAAAAGGAAAGAGGUAAGCAGAGGGCAAAAUCAUUUUCUUGAUAAAUUUUUUAAGUUUUGUUGAAUUUAUCAUUACACUACAGAAUAGCCCUUUCUA